UGCUUUUUGUAGAACGAGCCAGCGAGUUACGAUAUGCAGCAAGGUUAAGUACUUAAGGUACGGAGCCGGAGGGAAACCGAGUCUGAAAAGGGCGAGAAGUUGUAUGUUGUAGACCCGAAACCGAGUGACCUAUCCAUGGCCAGGUUGAAGCGGAAGUAAAAUUCCGUGGAGGACCGAACCACGUUGGUGUUGAAAAACCAUGGGAUGAGCUGUGGAUAGCGGAGAAAUUCCAAUCGAACUCGGAGAUAGCUGGUUCUCCUCGAAAUAGCUUUAGGGCUAGCGUCGGAAAUGAGUAAUGGAGGUAGAGCACUGAAUGGGGUAGGGGCUGACAACAGUUACUGAACCUUAUCAAACUCCGAAUGCCAUAUACUUGAAUUCCGGCAGUCAGACUGCGAAUGAUAAGAUCCGUGGUCAAAAGGGAAACAGCCCAGAUUUACAGCUAAGGUCCCAAAGUGUAAGUUAAGUGGGAAAGGAUGUGUGAUUUCUAAGACAACUAGGAUGUUGGCUCAGAAGCAGCCACUCAUUUAAAGAGUGCGUAAUAGCUCACUAGUCAAGAGAUCAUGCGCCGAAAAUGUCCGGGGCUAAAACUUACCACCGAAGCUGUGGACUCGAAAGAGUGGUAGAGGAGCAUCCUGUAUGAGUAGAAGUCGUACCGGAAGGAACGGUGGAUUGUACAGGAGAGAGAAUGCUGGCAUAAGUAGCGAGAAAUAAGUGAGAAUCUUAUUGGUCGAAAACCUAAGGUUUCCUGGGGAAGGUUCGUCCGCCCAGGGUAAGUCGGGACCUAAGCCGAGGCCAAAAGGCGUAGGUGAUGGACAAUCGGUUGAAAUUCCGAUACCGCAUAAAAGCGUUUGACAAAAGGGAUGACGCAGGAGGAUAAGGUGUGCAUACAAUUGGAUGUAUGUCUAAGCAUCGAGUCAGGUAUACCAGGAAAAUCCGGUAUAUCAAUGAUGAGGUGUGAUGGGGAACCCGCAAGGGGAAGUACCUGAUUUCACGCUGCCGAGAAAAGUCUCUAUGGAGUUUUUAUGUGCCCGUACCGCAAACCGACACAGGUAGGUGAGGAGAGAAUCCUAAGACCAUCGGAAGAAUUGUUGUUAAGGACCUAGGCAAAUUAACUCCGUAACUUCGGGAGAAGGAGAGCCACGCAA
This 1145-nucleotide ribosomal RNA is filed under the name Acinetobacter baumannii. Its description in RNAcentral is "partial 23S ribosomal RNA". It matches the Rfam family "Bacterial large subunit ribosomal RNA", at positions 602 to 1758 of the family's 2925-position model. Lineage: Bacteria; Pseudomonadati; Pseudomonadota; Gammaproteobacteria; Moraxellales; Moraxellaceae. The record is from RNAcentral.